UGCAUUCACUACUGUAAGUCACUCUGGAUAAGAGCGUCUGCUAAAUGGGUAAAA
This is a non-coding RNA of Salmo salar (Atlantic salmon), 54 nucleotides long. The record is from Rfam. NCBI's taxonomy places the organism in Eukaryota, Metazoa, Chordata, Actinopteri, Salmoniformes, Salmonidae.